GACCCUGUAGUGAAGUUCAUGUUGAGUUGCAAGCUCAUUGAUGUGUGUUGAUAGACGCACCGGGGUCU
This 68-nucleotide transfer RNA is filed under the name Halcyon senegalensis. Its description in RNAcentral is "tRNA-Cys". The record is from RNAcentral. Lineage: Eukaryota; Metazoa; Chordata; Aves; Coraciiformes; Alcedinidae.